CCUACGGGAGGCAGCAGUGGGGAAUUUUACACAAUGGGCGAAAGCCUGAUGUAGCAACGCCGCGUGGAGGAUGACGGAUUUAGGUCUGUAAACUCCUUUUAUAAGGGAAGAAAUUUGACGGUACCUUAUGAAUAAGCACCGGCUAACUCCGUGCCAGCAGCCGCGGUAAUACGGGGGGUGCAAGCGUUACUCGGAAUCACUGGGCGUAAAGGGAGCGUAGGCGUUCUAUUAAGUCUUGAGUGAAAGCCCGCAGCCUAACUGCGGAACUGCUCAGG
This 275-nucleotide ribosomal RNA is filed under the name uncultured bacterium. RNAcentral's name for it is "partial 16S ribosomal RNA". It matches the Rfam family "Bacterial small subunit ribosomal RNA", at positions 338 to 629 of the family's 1533-position model. The record is from RNAcentral.